This is a long non-coding RNA of Ruditapes philippinarum (Manila clam), 1628 nucleotides long. RefSeq lists it as uncharacterized. The record is from RefSeq and is a predicted model, not a curated record. The transcript has 3 exons. Lineage: Eukaryota; Metazoa; Mollusca; Bivalvia; Venerida; Veneridae.
UAGUGUCCCAGCAAACAUACCUAUAUCGGGCCGAUAUCGGCUAUAUGAUGGAAUAUCUGUGUCGGCUACCAUAUAUCGGACCGAUGUCUAUCCGAUAUUGACAUAUUUCACUGAUAUAGGUCCGACAUCGGUCCGAUUUAUAUUCGUUUGACAUGAUUUAAGUUUUAUCAUGGUAACGUUUUUUUAGCAUACAGGACCAUGAAACCGGGAAAAAAUUUCCGAAUUUUAACGCGUUUAACCAUUGAACGGAUAUUUAUCGUAAUUUGCACAAUGGUAAAUAGUUACCUACGCACCGUACAUCCGGGCACGCUUACAUUUGGCGCAAAACUCAACAAGGGACAAAAGUUCGAAUAUUUACAAUCACUGGGUAAUUUAGCAUUUUCUAAUACCUUUUUGAUAAAAUAUCAUUAACAUAGUUGAUAUACUGGUUGAGUGCUAUUGAAAUUUUGAAAAAUAAAUAAAAAAUAUAUGGACAAGAUGGCUUUGAUUUAAUAGUCAUGCAAUUUCGCGAUCACGUUAAAUUGGGUUGCUUAUAAUUUCUUUUAAACCUAUAGGACCUUAGCAACUUGUUGGCAUAGAUAAGAAAUAAUUUGUUCUUAAGUUUAAGCAAGACUUUGCCAUUAAAUUUUGUUGAAACAAAAUAAUUAAAAGUUACAUUUUGACAGAUGAUUUAAUUAAAAAGAAUAUUCCUUUUUUUUUUUUUUACUUCAGUAAUUAUAUUGAAAGUUAUGUUUCUCAUUAAAUAAUAUUUUUGUAUUUUAGCACGAGAUAUCCGCAUUUUUACCCUAUUAGAAAAAAUGUCUCGACAAUAGACACAAAUAUUGGACACUGUUCAUCAGGUAUUUGGUGUCGUGUCAAAGUUGGAAAGUCAAGAUGGUGGUGGACCAACUGAAUUGCCUGAUGAUAUUCAUUUACCAGUUACAAGCAUUGAAAAACUGGAGUUGGUUGAGACAGGUUUACAAGAACCUGGUUGUUUCAAUGGCUUGGUCACAUACCUGACACUGCAAGGAGGUAUCACAAGAAGCGAUAUGUCAAAAAGAGUCAUGAAACACUGCAUGUCAAAUCAGUUGGCACUUCAGUUCAACUGGUUUGGCAAGUAAGGGAAGAGAGUGUUUGGGAAACUGAAGCUGGCCAAGGCAGUGCAAAAAGCAGUCAUGAAAUGUAAAAAAUGUACAGCAGCUGAAGUCGAAUUAGAUUGUAGAGAAUGGUUUCGAAGUGCAUGUGACAGAGACGGGGGCCGUAAAAGAAGACAAAAAAACAAUGAAGGUGUCCAAGAAACACCCACUGAAUAGAACUUUUAAAUAUAUUUAUAGCGAUAUUGAAAGAAAAAAGAUGGCUCUUUUAAUUUGGAAGUAAUGUAAAGGACUUGUAUCAUUCUAGCCUAAUAGUUCAAGAACAUAUAGCCUAAGAAGAAUAAAUCAUACAUAAAUAGUGAUAUAGUUAAACUAAACAUUAUUGAGAUAUAUUUAAGAAACAAUAUCAGUUUCUGUGUUGUUCAUCGGCUAUUUAAAAUCAGUUUAAGCUUGUGUGUCAGGCAGGAUUAUAUAUAUUGUGUUUACAUCGUUGCUGGAUUAAUGAUUCUUCAGCCCAUGACCAGUUUAAAGUGACGCCAUUCUGGCACUUGUGUG